AAGUAUGUCCUAGUCUUUUAUACCAAAGAGAUAAGGACUGAAUUGAUUUUUUUUUUGUUGUUGGAAUCAAUAUAAGUGCAGCGGAGAGAAUGAACUAAAUUGACAGUAUUGCUAUUUUGUUUUAACAAAUUUGUGUGAUAACCAAUCAACUCAGAACUAAUGCUCCUUGAAUCCAAAAUGUAAAGUCGCCCAACCACCCUUCCAACAACUAGGAUUUUCUCAUUCUGUAGGCAUUGCAACAAGCAAUAGUUAAGAGAGAAAACAAAUUUAAUCAAAAAGGUUUCUGAAAUUUUAUUUACUGAUAGUAGAUUAUAUUGGAAAACUGGUAUAUGCAAAGUGGAAGUUAAAAUAAGAUUGGGAGAGAAAUGUACAUCUCCUACAUUAUGCACCAUAUUGACUAAACCAUCAGGUAAGAAAACAAGAGUAAUAGCUUUGACUGAAUUUGGUCUUUGAAUGAGUUUUAGAUCACUAUACAUAUGAUUUGAGGAACCUGUAUCCACAAUACAGCUAUCAGGUUCCAAUAGAUCAAGUAUAUUAAAAGCAAAAUGGUGUGAAGUUAUACCUGCAAAAUCUUGGAAAUGAGACAUGUUAGCAAGACCUCCCUCUGUGAUAUCUUUCCCUUUAAUAAAUUUACUCAUUUCUUGUUGAAUCAGUUCCUAAAUCUAGUUGUUUAUCUCUGCUGAAAUUGUUCAUUCCUUGUCAGUAUUGAUCUCAGUAUCCAUGUCUGCCAUAUAUACCAUCUGUUUAAAACCUUGUUUCCCUUUAGUUUUCAUGAGGUCUUUGUACGAAUCAGGAAUGCCAUGGAUCUUAAAACAUGUUUCCUUGGUGUGUUCAGUAAAGUUGUAAUGUGGACAAUGUAAAUUAGAUUUAUCAGUCUUCUUAGCUCCACCUCUAUCCUUGCGAUAAUUCUUUGCAUCAUGACAUGUUUUUUUGUUAUUAACUGUUAUCAUAGCAAUAUUAUCCAGGGUAUCUGUGUAUACAUUUUUAACUUCUUUUUGCUUUUCAACUCUCAAAAUCAUUGAAUAAUCUUUGUUCACAGAAAGUAAUGGUUUUAUUACCAAGAUCUGAUUUCUUAUGUUAUUAUAUCCAUCAUUCAGAGUAUUAAAAUUGCAUCAACUUGCUUGAAGAGUUAUAGUUUAUUACCUGCUUAGCUGCUCAACAGCUGCAUUGUAGAACUGGUUGCAAGCAUUGCAGCUCAUCCCAUAACUUCUUAAGCUUUGUGUAGUACUGAACCACUGUUUGGUUCCCUUGAGAAAUGGAAGAAAUCUCCCUUUGCAAGUGGUAUACUAACGGACCAUUGCAUUCUCCAAGUCUCUCUAAUUCCUGCCAAAGUUCCUUUGUAGAUGCAAUAUACAAGCAUGCAUCUACAAUGUCCUUGGCAAUGGAAUUUAGUAUCCACGACUCUACCAUACAGUUCAAUUUAUUUCAUUUUUCAAAAUUCUCUUAUCUUUCUUUUGACAUUGCACAUUUUCCAUCUAUGAAGCCCAGCUUCAUCUUGGCUCCUAUAGCUAUCUUCACGGAACGACUCCAAGCUAGAUAGUUGUUCCCAUUUAAUGGAGUGGAAACAAGAAUCAUGCCUGGAUGAUCAGAUGAUUGAAGAAGUAAUGGAUUUUCGUUGUUAUGCCUAGCUCCUUGAACACUUCCUGUCACAGUCUCUGCAACGCUAAUAAUUCCCUCCAUGCUUAAAAAUUAUUUGUUUUCUCUCAAUUUGGAUCGUUUGCGCUCUGAUACCAUGAACAAAGUAAGCUGUCGAACCAAGAAACUUUCCUAUUUAAAAUAUAUAAUUUUUUUACACCCCAUACAAGAAGGCUAUUGCUACUUAUAUAUAUCUAAGAAGAAGGUCGAAGAGAAAAAAAGUAAAAGGAGCACCAAAAAUGGAUAACGAAAAUAACAAAACAAUUGGCUGUUACAACAGAAAAUACAGUUGGCGUAGCACACUCCAUUAUGCAUGCUUUUACAACAGAAAAUGCAGCAGGUGAAUAUCUUAAUUCUCUACACUUAUUUAUUAUUUUUUUAUUUAUGGAAAUUGCUAGUGCAAAUUACUGACAGUUUUUCCUGAAUGUCUUGCUACCUUCUAGAAGAGAAGGAUUUCCGGCCGUAUCUAAUGUUAAAUGCGAAGGUGUCAGUGGAUUUGAUUAUCGAAGUCAGCAAUUUAACCGUUGCAUAGUUAGGACAAUGAAGUUUCCUGAAAAUUUUUUGUUGAUAAUGACAAUUUUCUUUUUUUCCGUGCUCUAUGUGUAUGUGUGUGUCCAUGAGCAUGUGCUAUGUUCAUGCUUAUCAAAGUUAUUGGGAGUGCUAAAUGUAAAAUGAAGUAACUACUGCAGAGAAUCCCCAAAAAAUGGUAGAGGAAAACAUGAAGAAUCUCUUUUCUUACUGAGGCCACUAAUAAAAAGCAUUACCUGCUAAAGUGAGCCAUAGAAGCCUAGAGGAUGGGAUAGCUAGAGUACAUUGAGUCUAAUUGGUGGUGCUGUGUAGACUGCUAUAUAGUGAUUGUUGGAGAUCUGAGGUGCCUGGUGGUUGUUGGGUUUGAUUUUUCUAUUCUUGGAUAAUUUAUGAACAAAAAAAUUGAUUUCAUGAUCUGUUUGUGUAUGGUAACUAUGCUACUAGUAUCUGGGAAUUUAGUAUUAAAUCUCUACUUGAGAUUAGAGGUUGAAUUUUGAUAUCACCUGUGUUUACAUAUAAAAAACUAGUGUCCCAUAAGGAUCACAGUAAAGUUUGAUUGCAUCUGUCACAAAACCUCUCUGAGUUAGUCAUUGUUUUCCUCCCUUAAACAUUCGCUGAUAGGUUGAUGAAAUUAAACAAUCAAUACAAAGCAUUGUUUGUUCAUGUAGUAAAAGUUCCUUAGAUUUGGAAGAAUGCACGACCUUGGUGUGACAAGAAGUAUAGCUUUUAAAGUUUAUUUCAAGGGCGCCCCUCUAGGAACAUUAGUAUGAUAGCAGAGGAAAAUGAGUGGAAGGUGAAGCAAUUUGACUAUAGUUUUGCUGCAUGGAUGUAACUCCGUAGAUGCUAAAUUACGUUGUAAGUGGCACAAGCUAUAACCUUUUUAUUGUUGGCUUGGUUUUGCUGCACCUCCUGGAAGGCAGAGCGCGUUUGAACUAGAAAAUGGAUGUUAUACUAACUUUUACUUUUUGUAAUUUCAGGAAUAUAAAGGUUGAUGCGGCAGAGGAUUUUUGCUUUAUCGACCUCCUGCUGCAGCGAAACAUUGAUUUUCAAGGUUGUUACUAGUGAUGCAGCAGGACCCAGUUUCAUUAACAUCAAAGUUCUCAUGGCCCGGCCCUUGAGCUUCUAGAUAAAUACGUGGGAAAAGUGAGUUAGCAGUUUGAACAUUAUUCAGCGGCGCGGGGCAUGCACUUUCAAUGGUCUUCUUUCAUGAGGUUUGUUUUCUUCUCGCCCGAUAACUUUACUAUCUCCUCUUUGGUGCUUGAUCUAUUAUGUUUAUUCUUUUCUUUUUCUUCCAAGAAGGAUUAUUGCGAAUUAUAGCACAAUAUUGGCAAUAUAUAAUUUUAUCAAUGUAGAAGUGUUGGGAAAAUUAUGAACUACUCUCAAUUUUUGGAUUGAACGAACGGGGGUUUCAAAGCUUUACAAGGGUUUUAGUCACUUUUUCCAAUUUAAUUCCGUUUAGAACUGUCAGAUGUUUUAGUAUUAGUCUAUAUUUUAAUUUUUGUAACAAAAACACUCCCAAACAACCUAAUAAAGUUCCGUUAUGAUUUAAAGCAAAAGUAAAUGAUCAUACCUUCGAUAUGACAUGAGUGAUUUCAAUAUAAUGGAUUUAUGUAGUAUUUCCGUGCUAAUAUGGGAUUCAGGUUUUAUUCAAUCCAGUUGUUUUGAUAGCAAAA
This is a non-coding RNA of Carica papaya (papaya), 3836 nucleotides long. NCBI's taxonomy places the organism in Eukaryota, Viridiplantae, Streptophyta, Magnoliopsida, Brassicales, Caricaceae. The record is from RefSeq and is a predicted model, not a curated record.